GACGAACGCUGGCGGCGUGCUUAACACAUGCAAGUCGAACGGAAGGGCCCUGCUUGCCGGGUACUCGAGUGGCGAACGGGUGAGUAACACGUGGGUGAUCUGCCCUGCACUUCGGGAUAAGCUUGGGAAACUGGGUCUAAUACCGGAUAGGACCGCACUUUAGUGUGUGUGGUGGAAAGUUUUUUCGGUGUAGGAUGAGCUCGCGGCCUAUCAGCUUGUUGGUGGGGUAAUGGCCUACCAAGGCGGCGACGGGUAGCCGGCCUGAGAGGGUGUACGGCCACCUUGGGACUGAGAUACGGCCCAGACGCCUACGGGAGGCAGCAGUGGGGAAUAUUGCACAAUGGGCGCAAGCCUGAUGCAGCGACGCCGCGUGGGGGAUGAAGGCCUUCGGGUUGUAAACUCCUUUCGCUAGGGACGAAGCUUUUUGUGACGGUACCUAGAUAAGAAGCACCGGCUAACUACGUG
This 465-nucleotide ribosomal RNA is filed under the name uncultured bacterium. RNAcentral describes it as "partial 16S ribosomal RNA". It matches the Rfam family "Bacterial small subunit ribosomal RNA", at positions 28 to 507 of the family's 1533-position model. The record is from RNAcentral.